This 528-nucleotide ribosomal RNA is filed under the name uncultured bacterium. Its description in RNAcentral is "bacterial SSU rRNA". It matches the Rfam family "Bacterial small subunit ribosomal RNA", at positions 28 to 539 of the family's 1533-position model. The record is from RNAcentral.
GACGAACGCUGGCGGCGUGCCUAACACAUGCAAGUCGAGCGGAGUCGAUCGACGGAAGCCUUCGGGCGGAAGAUGGUUGACUUAGCGGCGGAUGGGUGAGUAACGCGUGGGCAACCUGCCUCGAAGACCGGGAUAACAGCCCGAAAGGGCUGCUAAUACCGGAUGUGGUCAAGGAUCCGCAUGGAUUUUUGAUUAAAGGGGAAACCCGUUUCGAGAUGGGCCCGCGUCCUGUCAGCUAGUUGGUGAGGUAAAAGCUCACCAAGGCGACGACGGGUAGCCGGCCUGAGAGGGUGACCGGCCACACUGGAACUGAGACACGGUCCAGACUCCUACGGGGGCAGCAGUGGGGAAUCUUCCACAAUGGGCGAAAGCCUGAUGGAGCGACGCCGCGUGAGCGAAGAAGGCCUCGGUUGUAAGACUCUGUCUGGAGGGACGGAAGGAAGGUAGACGGUACCGUCCCGGACGGGAACGGACCGACGGCCGUAACUAACGUCGCCACGCAGCCGCCGGUAAAAGUAAGACGUACGU